UUCUCCUACGGGACGCAGCAGUGAGGAAUAUUGGUCAAUGGGCGGAAGCCUGAACCAGCCAAGUCGCGUGAGGGACUAAGGCCCUGCGGGUCGUAAACCUCUUUUGCCGGGGAGCAGUGGUCCGGACGCGUCCGGACCGGGAGAGUACCCGGAGAGAAAGCAUCGGCUAACUCCGUGCCAGCAGCCGCGGUAAUACGGAGGAUGCGAGCGUUAUCCGGAUUUAUUGGGUUUAAAGGGUGCGUAGGCGGGCAUUUAAGCCGGCGGUCAAAUUUCGGGGCUCAACCCCGGCCCGCCGU
Molecule: ribosomal RNA, 296 nt
Filed under: uncultured bacterium
Lineage: Bacteria
Description: partial 16S ribosomal RNA
Rfam family: Bacterial small subunit ribosomal RNA
Source: RNAcentral